RNAcentral lists this ribosomal RNA (166 nucleotides) under Mortierellaceae sp. Its description in RNAcentral is "partial large subunit ribosomal RNA". It matches the Rfam family "Eukaryotic large subunit ribosomal RNA", at positions 100 to 261 of the family's 3401-position model. Lineage: Eukaryota; Fungi; Mortierellomycota; Mortierellomycetes; Mortierellales; Mortierellaceae. The record is from RNAcentral.
GGGAAGAGCUCAAUUUUAAAAUCUGGCAGGUUUACCUGUCCGAGUUGUAAGUUAUAGAGGCGUUUUCGGAGGCAACCUGGGUAUAAAUCCUUUGGAACAGGGUAUCAUAGAGGGUGAGAAUCCCGUCUUUGACUCAGUGUUUGCUUCUAUGUGAUACGCUUUCAAA